This 371-nucleotide ribosomal RNA is filed under the name uncultured Deinococcota bacterium. RNAcentral's name for it is "bacterial SSU rRNA". It matches the Rfam family "Bacterial small subunit ribosomal RNA", at positions 521 to 896 of the family's 1533-position model. The record is from RNAcentral. Lineage: Bacteria; Thermotogati; Deinococcota.
UAAUACGGAGGGUGCGAGCGUUACCCGGAUUUACUGGGCGUAAAGGGCGUGUAGGCGGCCCGUUAAGUCCGGUGUCAAAGCCCACGGCUCAACCGUGGAAAGGCGCCGGAUACUGGCGGGCUAGACGGACGGAGGGGGUAGCGGAAUUCCCGGAGUAGCGGUGAAAUGCGUAGAUACCGGGAGGAACGCCGAUAGCGAAGGCAGCUACCUGGACGUCCCGUGACGCUGAGGCGCGAAAGCGUGGGGAGCAAACCGGAUUAGAUACCCGGGUAGUCCACGCCCUAAACGAUGAGUGCUGGGUGUCGGGCUUUGGCUCGGCGCCGUAGCUAACGCGUUAAGCACUCCGCCUGGGGAGUACGGCCGCAAGGCUG